GAUUUCCUGAGAUGUGCGUAAAGCUUAUGAUAUUCAACCUACAUGAUAUUAUCGGGAUUUGCAAUAGAUUCAUAAAUGUCAGGCUUCAUUUUAUCACUGAUUGUGACGGUAGAAGACAGGAAUGGAUUGCGCUUAACCCACCUGCGAGGCGCAGGACUUGAAUAUAUAGGUGGACGGCAUGUUGGGAGCUAU
Molecule: non-coding RNA, 192 nt
Filed under: Clostridium chromiireducens
Lineage: Bacteria; Bacillati; Bacillota; Clostridia; Eubacteriales; Clostridiaceae
Description: Clostridium chromoreductans 6S / SsrS RNA
Rfam family: 6S / SsrS RNA
About the family: E. coli 6S RNA was the first non coding RNA to be sequenced, but its function was unknown until recently. It consists of 184 nucleotides that fold into an extended hairpin structure with a large single-stranded internal bulge. The 6S RNA specifically associates with RNA polymerase holoenzyme containing the sigma70 specificity factor.
Source: Rfam by way of RNAcentral